RNAcentral lists this transfer RNA (85 nucleotides) under Felis catus (domestic cat). It matches the Rfam family "tRNA". Rfam says of the family: Transfer RNA (tRNA) molecules are approximately 80 nucleotides in length. Lineage: Eukaryota; Metazoa; Chordata; Mammalia; Carnivora; Felidae. The record is from Rfam by way of RNAcentral.
GCCUGGGUGGCUCAGUUGGUUAAGUGUCUGACUUUGGCUCAGGUCAUGAUCUCGCGGUUCGUGAGUUUAAGCCUCACAUCGGGCU